GACGAACGCUGGCGGCGUGCUUAACACAUGCAAGUCGAACGGAAAGGCCCUGCUUUUGUGGGGUGCUCGAGUGGCGAACGGGUGAGUAACACGUGAGUAACCUGCCCUUGACUUUGGGAUAACUUCAGGAAACUGGGGCUAAUACCGGAUAGGAGCUCCUGCUGCAUGGUGGGGGUUGGAAAGUUUCGGCGGUUGGGGAUGGACUCGCGGCUUAUCAGCUUGUUGGUGGGGUAGUGGCUUACCAAGGCUUUGACGGGUAGCCGGCCUGAGAGGGUGACCGGCCAAAUUGGGACUGAGAUACGGCCCAGACUCCUACGGGAGGCAGCAGUGGGGAAUAUUGCAUAAUGGGCGGAAGCCUGAUGCAGCAACGCCGCGUGCGGGAUGACGGCCUUCGGGUUGUAAACCGCUUUCGCCUGUGACGAAGCGUGAGUGACGGUAAUGGGUAAAGAAGCACCGGCUAACUACGUG
RNAcentral lists this ribosomal RNA (468 nucleotides) under uncultured bacterium. RNAcentral describes it as "partial 16S ribosomal RNA". It matches the Rfam family "Bacterial small subunit ribosomal RNA", at positions 28 to 507 of the family's 1533-position model. The record is from RNAcentral.